RNAcentral lists this long non-coding RNA (1301 nucleotides) under Homo sapiens (human). RNAcentral describes it as "HSALNT0014927". The record is from RNAcentral. Lineage: Eukaryota; Metazoa; Chordata; Mammalia; Primates; Hominidae.
AAUUCCCAGUCCCCUGCACCCCUUCCUGGGACACUAUGUUGUUCUCCGCCCUCCUGCUGGAGGUGAUUUGGAUCCUGGCUGCAGAUGGGGGUCAACACUGGACGUAUGAGGCUCCUCCCUUCUGGAUCUCCUCCUGCCUUGAGUUUCACAUAUAUGGCUCCUAGAUCCUGCUCUAAUCAUCAAAUCCUACACCUCCUGAUUUGGCAGAAAAGCUAGGCCCACAUGGUCAGGACCAUUGGCCAGCCUCUUACCCUGAGUGUGGAAACAAUGCCCAGUCGCCCAUCGAUAUUCAGACAGACAGUGUGACAUUUGACCCUGAUUUGCCUGCUCUGCAGCCCCACGGAUAUGACCAGCCUGGCACCGAGCCUUUGGACCUGCACAACAAUGGCCACACAGUGCAACUCUCUCUGCCCUCUACCCUGUAUCUGGGUGGACUUCCCCGAAAAUAUGUAGCUGCCCAGCUCCACCUGCACUGGGGUCAGAAAGGAUCCCCAGGGGGGUCAGAACACCAGAUCAACAGUGAAGCCACAUUUGCAGAGCUCCACAUUGUACAUUAUGACUCUGAUUCCUAUGACAGCUUGAGUGAGGCUGCUGAGAGGCCUCAGGGCCUGGCUGUCCUGGGCAUCCUAAUUGAGGUGGGUGAGACUAAGAAUAUAGCUUAUGAACACAUUCUGAGUCACUUGCAUGAAGUCAGGCAUAAAGAUCAGAAGACCUCAGUGCCUCCCUUCAACCUAAGAGAGCUGCUCCCCAAACAGCUGGGGCAGUACUUCCGCUACAAUGGCUCGCUCACAACUCCCCCUUGCUACCAGAGUGUGCUCUGGACAGUUUUUUAUAGAAGGUCCCAGAUUUCAAUGGAACAGCUGGAAAAGCUUCAGGGGACAUUGUUCUCCACAGAAGAGGAGCCCUCUAAGCUUCUGGUACAGAACUACCGAGCCCUUCAGCCUCUCAAUCAGCGCAUGGUCUUUGCUUCUUUCAUCCAAGCAGGAUCCUCGUAUACCACAGGAAGAAGAGGCUGGAAAACCGAAAGAGUGUGGUCUUCACCUCAGCACAAGCCACGACUGAGGCAUAAAUUCCUUCUCAGAUACCAUGGAUGUGGAUGACUUCCCUUCAUGCCUAUCAGGAAGCCUCUAAAAUGGGGUGUAGGAUCUGGCCAGAAACACUGUAGGAGUAGUAAGCAGAUGUCCUCCUUCCCCUGGACAUCUCCUAGAGAGGAAUGGACCCAGGCUGUCAUUCCAGGAAGAACUGCAGAGCCUUCAGCCUCUCCAAACAUGUAGGAGGAAAUGAGGAAAUCGCUGUGUUGU